UUUUAAAAUUUCUUGUAAAUCUCUUAAAACCCUUUUAAAAUCCCUUGUAAAUCAAUUUGCUGCCAAAAAAUAUUUACAAUGAUUUUUAAAAUCAUUUUGGCUGAGGAAAAAUUUGGCGGGAAAUUUUUUUUUAGCUGGAAAAAAAUUUUUUGGCGCAAAGUUCAGUUUCCAAUUACAUGUUUCUAUUAAAUGAGGGUAAUUUGGUCAUUUUGUUCAAGGGAAGGGGUAUUUUUAAAAAUGGACAACAUAAAAGAGUAUUGUUGCAAAAUGGUAGUAAAAAAAGGUAGUUUUGCAAAUCUUCCUAUUAACAACUACUUUUCAGAAAAACCUUAAUGUCGCCUUUAUAUAUAAAUAAUAGUUUUAUUAUACAAAAUGAAUAGUUUUAUCCAAAAAAGUGAGUUAUACAUUAAUACUUUCAAAUUGAUCCCAAUAACAUUUCAA
Molecule: small RNA, 441 nt
Filed under: Arabidopsis thaliana (thale cress)
Lineage: Eukaryota; Viridiplantae; Streptophyta; Magnoliopsida; Brassicales; Brassicaceae
Description: ATSL258820
Source: RNAcentral